Molecule: ribosomal RNA, 468 nt
Filed under: uncultured bacterium
Lineage: Bacteria
Description: partial 16S ribosomal RNA
Rfam family: Bacterial small subunit ribosomal RNA
Source: RNAcentral
GACGAACGCUGGCGGCGUGCUUAACACAUGCAAGUCGAACGGGAAGUCCCUGCUUUUGUGGGGUGCUCUAGUUGCGAACGGGUGAGUAACACGUGAGUAACCUGCCCUUGACUUUGGGAUAACUUCAGGAAACUGGGGCUAAUACCGGAUAGGAGCUCCUGCUGCAUGGUGGGGGUUGGAAAGUUUCGGCGGUUGGGGAUGGACUGGCGGCUUAUCAGCUUGUUGGUUGGGUAGUGUCUUACCAAGGCUUUGACGGGUAGCCGGCCUGAGAGGGUGACAGGAUAAAUUGGGACUGAGAUAAGGCACAGCCCCCUACGGGAGGCAGCAGUGGGGAAUAGUGUAUAAUGGGAUGAAGCCUGAUCCAGCAACGCCGCGUGGGGGAUGACGGCCUUCGGGUUGUAAAGCGCUUUCGCCUGUGACGAAGCGUGAGUGACGGUAAUGGGUAAAGAAGCACCGGCUAACUCCGUG